RNAcentral lists this ribosomal RNA (467 nucleotides) under uncultured bacterium. RNAcentral describes it as "partial 16S ribosomal RNA". It matches the Rfam family "Bacterial small subunit ribosomal RNA", at positions 28 to 507 of the family's 1533-position model. The record is from RNAcentral.
GACGAACGCUGCGGCGUGCUUAACACAUUCAAGUCGAACGGAAAGGCCCUGCUUUUGUGGGGUGCUCGGGGGGCGAACGGGGGAGGAACACGUGAGUAACCUGCCCUUGACUUUUGGGUAACUUCAGGGAACUUGGGCUAAUACCGGGUAGGAGCUCCUGCUUCAUGGUGGGGGUUGGAAAGUUUCGGCGGUUUGGGAUGGACUCGCGGCUUAUCAGCUUGUUGGUGGGGUAGUGGCUUACCAAGGCUUUGACGGGUAGCCGGCCUGAGAGGGUGACCGGCCACAUUGGGACUGAGAUACGGCCCAGACUCCUACGGGAGGCAGCAGUGGGGAAUAUUGCACAAUGGGCGGAAGCCUGAUGCAGCAACGCCGCGUGCGGGAUGACGGCCUUCGGGUUGUAAACCGCUUUCGCCUGUGACGAAGCGUGAGUGACGGUAAUGGGUAAAGAAGCACCGGCUAACUACGUG